Molecule: long non-coding RNA, 90 nt
Organism: Myotis davidii
Lineage: Eukaryota; Metazoa; Chordata; Mammalia; Chiroptera; Vespertilionidae
Exons: 3
Source: RefSeq, a predicted model, not a curated record
AAGGAAUUAGAAAGAAAGCAAUAAGAAAAGCCCACAGUGAGCAGAAGAAAGGAAUUAAUAAGAUCAGAGCAGAGGUAAAUGACAUAGAGA